GCCGGGGUAGCUCAGUCGGUAGAGCAGCGGACUGAAAAUCCGCGUGUCGGUGGUUCGAUUCCGCCCCCCGGCA
Molecule: non-coding RNA, 73 nt
Organism: Thermosulfurimonas dismutans
Lineage: Bacteria; Pseudomonadati; Thermodesulfobacteriota; Thermodesulfobacteria; Thermodesulfobacteriales; Thermodesulfobacteriaceae
Source: Rfam